CAAGGUUGACUAUGUGUUAUUUUCAAUUUAUGUUCCACGGGAAAAAUCUAAACUUGGACACUGAAUUUUGAGAGUUUUUGACUUUACUGAUUGGUGCAUAUAUGUAUACGACUCCAACCGUAUCAGGCGCGGUGAUAAAGUUGUUCAAAAAGUGAUGCUACCUUACCAAACAUUGAUACCGUACUUUUUGAAAAAAGGCCAAUUUCUAUCUUGAUAAGGGCAUUGCCAAAUCUGAAAAUG
RNAcentral lists this long non-coding RNA (240 nucleotides) under Capsicum annuum. Its description in RNAcentral is "long non-coding RNA (CANN_LNC022513)". Lineage: Eukaryota; Viridiplantae; Streptophyta; Magnoliopsida; Solanales; Solanaceae. The record is from RNAcentral.